GUUCGGGGUUCUUCUGUGUUGAAGUCUUCUGUCUCUUUCUUCCCAGCCGGCACAUGACCGACCUUCAACGUUGAAAUAUGGUUGAAAUAAGGUCAGUUGUGGUUUCAACGUUGAAACAACGUUGAUUCAACGUUUAAAGCUGAAUGGUUGAAAAACAUCCAGCACAUGACCAACUUUCAAUGUUGAAAUAUGGUUGAAAUAAGGUCAGUUGUGGUUUCAACGUUGAAACAACGUUGAUUCAACGUUUAAAGAUGAACUGUUGAAAAACUUCCAGCACAUGACCAACUUUCAACAUUGAAAUAUGGUUGAAAUAAGGUCAGUUGUUUUAAUGAAACAACGUUAAAAAUGUUUAAUGCUAAAUGGUAGAAAAAGGUUAACAAGCUUUUAAAUUAUUUAUAUUAAAUUAUUUAAAUUAAUUAUUAUUUUAAUAGCAUUUAAAAAUAUUUUAGUCAUGAUACCUAUUCUAAAAUCUAAAGGUAUAUGUUAAAUAUUAUCAUCAUUAACAACAAUAAAACUAUACAUUCCGCUGCUUUAUCACACUGAAGCAACUCCCAUUGGUAGUUUUAUUUUAUUACUUCUAUCGUGAUUGGUUAAUCUGGCUGUCAUUCAGGAAACUGGACAAUGAAUCGGUUCGCGCUUUUCUACAUUUAAAAAUAUGACCAUUGUUGUCGUCUUUCUGUGAGUGAGGCGGCUAACUGCUGCUCGUUAUAACUGACAGCUCGGUCGGUCCCGAAUUAUUUCAUAUUUGCCUGUACAUUUUUUAUUUAUUUUGAGCGAAUUUGAGUCGUGACCUGUCAAUGGAGAACAAAAACUGUGAACACAAGAAAGGUCAGGUGUUCUGCGAGGUCCUGAAAACAUCCUGUCAAAAUGAGCUGAUCAAGUUAGAUGCUCACCUAAUGUGUUACUGAGUCAUCGAGGAUCCAGCUUGUUCUUGAAACAUUGGUAAGAAAUUGUUCUUCUGCUACAUUGCACUGUCACUUCUGCUAGAGAUGCUUUGACCUUUUGUGAUAGGUUUUGAUUGUGCUUAGUUUAAUAAAAAUGUACUGAAUUUGAUUUGACUUGUUUUACUACACUGUAAUGUUAGUGUUCUGAUUAAAACAGUGUAACUGGGGGCUCUGAAAACACUGCUUGUGAAUAAUUUGUUAAUAUUGUACAUUUUCAUCUGAAUACAUUAAAUAAGUGUUUAAUGAAUAGUGUUGUCCACUUUGUUUCCAACCACACUGUUACUGAACUGUAAAGUGAAAAUAUUGUGUGAUUUAUUUUGCAUUCAGUUUUCAGUUAAAUAUAUUUCACAAUAUCAAAGUUAUUGUCAAACAUUGUGAACAUACCU
RNAcentral lists this long non-coding RNA (1330 nucleotides) under Carassius auratus (goldfish). Its description in RNAcentral is "lncRNA (ENSCARG00000038455.1)". Lineage: Eukaryota; Metazoa; Chordata; Actinopteri; Cypriniformes; Cyprinidae. The record is from RNAcentral.